CAGCCCCUCGGGGCGCGGAGUGCAACCCGGGAGUUGCGAGGAGGCUGCAGUGACCCGGGCAGGGUCCCGGUUCAUCUGGGAGGGGGAGAGUUCCGGGCGCAGGGUGGGGGUGGGGUGGGGCUCCAGCUCGAGCUCUGUUCUCGGGGAGACGCGCUCAUCCUUUGGAUCACAACGCCCAGGGUGGGCGCCCGGCCAGGACUGUUCCUGCCCGCUUCUGGGAGAAACACAUGGAUUCUGCAGAGGACGAGGAGCGUUCAGGAUGGGAGGGAGAGAAAAAAAAGUUCGGAGAACCCUCAGAGGGCCGUUUGCGGGCUCAGGACGGCGGCGCCAGCCCCGGACGGCACCUGGGCAGCACCUGUGCCGGCAGCUGCGAAGGCCGCCUCAGCACCCAAGAAAAACACCGGAGGCUGCGCUCCUGGCCUCGGGCUUGCUGUCUGCGACAGGCAUCGUAAUACCUUCACUGUUAUUUGGCCACGGACCUCGGGUGGUCGGAUUCGCUUAUCCAUGGUAAUUCAGGCGCCGGAAGAGGGGAGCCUGCGCCUCAGGAGUAGUCGCCGGCAGGACCGUCCAACCCGGCGGGAGCGUGCGACCGAGCUCACCAAGUGCUCCCCGGCGUGGCUUCCUCCAGGGGCCGGGCACCUCACAGGCUCUAAUGGGGUCACCGUGGUGAGGAAACCGCUGCUCCCCGGGCUGUCAUUCAGGCCAAGCUGCAGCCGAACUGGAAGGAGACAGAUUCAUUCCCUCCGUGCCUCACACCAUUGUUUUUCUGGUACCGGGAAUCGAACUCAGAACCUCCCACUUCCCAGGCAGCCGCUGUGCCGCUGUGCCCCUGUGCUGCAUCCCCGGCCCUCACACCAUUCUCGCGCCCGGUAUCCCCGCACUUUAGAACGCUAGCUUAGACGCUUUUUUUUGAGGGAGAUUCCUGAACUU
RNAcentral lists this long non-coding RNA (930 nucleotides) under Chinchilla lanigera (long-tailed chinchilla). RNAcentral describes it as "lncRNA (ENSCLAG00000025761.1)". Lineage: Eukaryota; Metazoa; Chordata; Mammalia; Rodentia; Chinchillidae. The record is from RNAcentral.